GAAAUGCGAUAAGUAAUGUGAAUUGCAGAAUUCAGUGAAUCGUCGAAUCUUUGAACGCACAUUGCGCCCGCCAGUAUUCUGGCGGGCAUGCCUGUUCGAGCGUCAUUUCAACCAUCAAGCCCCCGGCUUGUGUUGGGGACCUGCGGCUGCCCGCAGGCCCUGAAAAACAGUGGCGGGCUCGCUGUCACACCGAGCGUAGUAGCAUACAUUCUCGCUCAGGGCGUGCUGCGGGUUCCGGCCGUUAAACGACCUUCAUAACCCAAGGUUGACCUCGGAUCAGGUAGGAAGACCCGCUGAACUUAAGC
Molecule: unclassified non-coding RNA, 305 nt
Filed under: plant metagenome
Description: partial contains 5.8S ribosomal RNA, internal transcribed spacer 2, and large subunit ribosomal RNA
Rfam family: 5.8S ribosomal RNA (bases 1-105)
Source: RNAcentral